This is a long non-coding RNA of Perca fluviatilis (European perch), 2380 nucleotides long. RefSeq lists it as uncharacterized. Lineage: Eukaryota; Metazoa; Chordata; Actinopteri; Perciformes; Percidae. The record is from RefSeq and is a predicted model, not a curated record. The transcript is spliced from 3 exons.
ACCACUCUAACAACAGACAGGUACCAGAACCACCCUAACAACAGACAGGUACCAGAACCACUCUAACAGACAGGUACCAGAACCACCCUAACAACAGAAAGGUACCAGAACCACCCUAACAACAGAAAGGUACCAGAACCACCCUAACAACAGAAAGGUACCAGAACCACCCUAACAACAGAAAGGUACCAGCAGAACCACCCUAACAACAGACAGGUACCAGAACCACCCUAACAACAGAAAGGUACCAGCAGAACCACUCUAACAACAGACAGGUACCAGAACCACCCUAACAACAGAAAGGUACCAUCAGAACCACACUAACAACAGACAGGUACCAGAACCACUCUAACAACAGACAGGUACCACCAGAACCACACUAACAACAGACAGGUACCAGCAGAACCACCCUAACAACAAAAGGUACCAGAACAACCCUAACAACAGAUAGGUACCAGAACCACCCUAACAACAGAAAGGUACCAGCAGAACCACCCUAACAACAGACAGGUACCAGAACCACCCUAACAACAGACAGGUACCAUCAGAACCACCCUAACAACAGAAAGGUACCAGAACCACUCUAACAACAGACAGGUACCAUCAGAACCACCCUAACAACAGAGAGGUACCAUCAGAACCACCCUAUCAACAGACAGGCACCAACAGAACCACCCUAACAACAGAAAGGUACCAGAACCACCCUAACAACAGAUAGGUACCAGAACCACCCUAACAACAGACAGGUACCAGCAGAACCACACUAACAACAGACAGGUACCAGAACCACCCUAACAACAGACAGGUACCAGCAGAACCACCCUAACAACAGACAGGUACCAGAACCACCCUAACAACAGAAAGGUACCAUCAGAACCACACUAACAACAGACAGGUACCAGAACCACUCUAACAACAGACAGGUACCAUCAGAACCACCCUAACAACAGGAAAGUACCAGAACCACCCUAACAACAGAAAGGUACCAGAACCACCCUAACAACAGAAAGGUACCAUCAGAACCACUCUAACAACAGACAGGUACCAGAACCACCCUAACAACAGAUAGGUACCAGAACCACCCUAACAACAGAAAGGUACCAGAACCACCCUAACAACAGAAAGGUACCAGCAGAACCACCCUAACAACAGACAGGUACCAGAACCACCCUAACAACAGAAAGGUACCAGCAGAACCACUCUAACAACAGACAGGUACCAGAACCACCCUAACAAGAGAAAGGUACCAUCAGAACCACACUAACAACAGACAGGUACCAUAACCACUCUAACAACAGACAGGUACCACCAGAACCACACUAACAACAGACAGGUACCAGCAGAACCACCCUAACAACAGAAAGGUACCAGAACCACCCUAACAACAGAUAGGUACCAGAACCACCCUAACAACAGACAGGUACCAGAACCACCAUAACAACAGAAAGGUAACAGAACCACCCUAACAACAGACAGGUACCAUCAGAACCACUCUAACAACAGACAGGUACCAUCAGAACCACCCUAACAACAGGAAGGUACCAGAACCACCCUAACAACACAAAGGUACCAUCAGAACCACUCUAACAACAGACAGGUACCAUCAGAACCACCCUAACAACAGACAGGUACCAUCAGAACCACUCUAACAACAGACAGGUACCAUCAGAACCACCCUAACAACAGGAAGGUACCAUAACCACCCUAACAACACAAAGGUACCAUCAGAACCACCCUAACAACAGGAAGGUACCAGAACCACCCUAACAACAGACAGGUACCAUCAGAACCACCCUAACAACAGACAGGUACCAUCAGAACCACUCUAACAACAGACAGGUACCAGAACCACCCUAACAACAGACAGGUACCAGAACCACUCUAACAACAGACAGGUACCAUCAGAACCACCCUAACAACAGAAAGGUACCAGAACCACCCUAACAACAGACAGGUACCAUCAGAACCACCCUAACAACAGACAGGUACCAGCAGAACCACCCUAACAACAGACAGGUACCAGAACCACUCUAACAACAGACAGGUACCAUCAGAACCUCCCUAACAACAGACAGGUACCAGCAGAACCACCCUAACAACAGAAAGGUACCAGAACCACUCUAACAACAGACAGGUACCAGAACCACCCUAACAACAGACAGUUACCAUCAGAACCACCCUAACAACAGAAAGGUACCAGAACCACCCUAACAACAGACAGUUACCAUCAGAACCACCCUAACAACAGAAAGGUACCAGAACCACCCUAACAACAGACAGGUACCAGAACCACUCUAACAACAGACCAGAACCUCCCUAACAACAGAAAGGUACCAUCAGAACCUCCCUAACAACAGAUAUAGUUUAACAUGUCUCUGUC